This 406-nucleotide ribosomal RNA is filed under the name uncultured bacterium. Its description in RNAcentral is "partial 16S ribosomal RNA". It matches the Rfam family "Bacterial small subunit ribosomal RNA", at positions 30 to 526 of the family's 1533-position model. The record is from RNAcentral.
AUUGAACGCUGGCGGCAGGCCUAACACAUGCAAGUCGAACGAGUGGCGGACGGGUGAGUAAUGUCUGGGAAACUGCACGAUGGAGGGGGAUAACUACUGGAAACGGUAUCUAAUACCGCAUACCAUCGGAUGUGCCCAGAUUGGAUUAGCUAGUAGGUGGGGUAACGGCUCACCUAGGCGACGAUCCCUAGCUGGUCUGAGAGGAUGACCAGCCAAACUGGAACGGAGACACGGUCCAGACUCCCAAGGGAGGCAGCAGUGGGGAAUAUUGCACAAUGGGCGCAAGCCUGAUGCAGCCAUGCCGCGUGUAUGAAGAAGGCCUUCGGGUUGUAAAGUACUUUCAGCGAGGAGGCGUUAUUCGCAGAAGAAGCACCGGAUAACUCCGUGCCAGCAGCCGCGGUAAUAA